RNAcentral lists this small RNA (4638 nucleotides) under Pan troglodytes (chimpanzee). RNAcentral's name for it is "processed transcript". The record is from RNAcentral. Lineage: Eukaryota; Metazoa; Chordata; Mammalia; Primates; Hominidae.
GAGCUCCAUGGGAAGAGGCCCGAGGAAUGAGCACAGUCUUGACAGUUUCAGUGUGGGCUGACUGUGUCCUGAAGAAUGGGCUGGGAAGCAGCUUUACAUUCAGCCCCUCGAGGCAGGUCACUCAUCUGGGUUUGUUGCCCUGUCUGAUGCUCCCCUACUUGGGAUACCGAGAACUUCAGCCAACAAGUCUUCAGGUGCUCCUUCCUAUAGCAGAUGGUCCAGUUCACAGCCACAUCAGUCUAGCUCCACAGUGAGAGCCUAUCAAACUAGUAAGUCACGAGUGACCAUGAGCCCUGGCUUCAGCUCCCAGUGGAACAGCAGCCAACCAGCCUGGAAUACAUACUCCUUUCCAAGAGCCAGCCUGCACUACCAGUCCCAUGCCAGCUAUACCUACUGUACUGGACACCCUGCUUUUUCAGCUAGAUGGAGCCAAGGCAGAAGCCCACUGGUGGAACCUAGGCAGAUGCCAGCAGACACAGAAACCUGGGAAACAGGCUGCACAUUGAGUCAUCCUCUAAUGGAAGAUGGGAUGGCAAGGAAUGGACACAAGGGAGAACUGACGAGGGAUCUACACGUGCGGGAACUUUUCACUGGAUGAGAAAAAUGUAAAUCCAUUCAGAAACAUUUCUUCUCUAUCAGUGAAGCUCUACUUAUAUUUAGGGGAAUAGAAACAUUUGAGGGUAUCUAAAAUAUCUGGUAAUAGAGGAAAUUUAAUAUAUUUUUUGGUGUGCUUUUUACCCAAUGAACAAUUGAACCCAUGAUUUACAACUUAGCAUUACUUUAGCUGAAAAGGUAUCUGGAGAUUAAGAAAAAUUAUACUGAUCAUAAUAUUAAAAAUGUAACUUAUUUUUUAUUUUGUGUUUCCAGACUUAGAGGAUACCCUGUAGUGUUCUAGCCCACCCAUAUCUUUCUAAUUUUUAAGUAUGAUCACCAUUAGAACAUGAACAUUACCAAAUGGGGAUUAGGCUUAUUCACGUUUCAUUUAUUUUAACCUACUUUAACACUGAACUUUCUUUUCUUAUAAUUUGCAAAGACAAAGUCAACAUCUGGAGGAGGCCAUGCUGAUCCCAUCUAUGCCAUAACCUUUACACUGCUGGCUCAACUGUGAGAUUGCAAAGGGAUCAGUGAACUAGAUCGCAGACCCCCAGCUCCUUCUGGCCAUUUCUCACCUGCUCUCUUCUUCCUGCCCUUCAUCUGCCCACCUGUCCCUCUGUUUUUCUCUCUGCUGCUUUCAGACCACAAAGAAAAUUGAGUGCAGUGUCACCUUAUGAUAUGGAUUGGAUGUUUGUCCUCUCCAAACCUCAUAAUGAAAUGUGACCUCCAGUGUUUUGAGGUGGGGCCUGGUGGGAGGUAUUGGAUGAUGAGGGUGGAUCCAUUAUGAAUGGCUUAGUGCUAUUCCCUUGGUGAUGAGUGAAUUCAUCAGUUAAUUCACAAGAGAUCUGGUUGUUUAAGAGUCUAGGACAUCCCCCUUCUUUCUCUCUGGCUCCUGUUUUUACCAUGUAAUGUGUUUACUCCUCCUUCCCCGUGCUCCAUAAUUGGAAGCUUCCUGAGGCCUUCACCAGAAGGAGAUGCAGCACUAUGAGCCAAUUAAGCCUCCUUUCUUUAUAAAUUACUCCACCUUAGGUAUUUCUUUAUAGUAAUGCAAAAAUAGACUAAUAGACAUCUUACCUACUCAUGCCACUGUUUCAGAAGCCACCCCCAUUCCACUUAAAUAUCAUACAUGAUGGAAAACAAAACAAUACACAAGGUAGAAAACAUCCUAGAUAGCAGCUCCUGAGGGAAGGUACACUUCUACAAAAUAAAAAUCAGUGAGUUUAUAUUUUGGUAGCCUGUGAUGUUAUACAGAAUAGACAGAGAUUCUACUUAGGGUUCCAAUUCCCUCAGGCCCAUUAAGUAGGGCAGAUGGGCAUUAGAAGAGAUGCCUUUAAAAGUGGACAUUAAUGUACUUUUAAAAGUAAUGGGUCUGACCUAUAAAUCAUGGGAGGAAUGUAGUACAAAAUAGUGAAUGAAAUAUUUAUAUGUUCCAUUGAAGCUUCGUGUAUAUUCUAGAGGGAGAAGUCCCAGAGAGAUGGGUCUUCCCCUUUGUUCUGAAUCUAUUUUCCAAUUGCUCUGACACAGCUGUUGGCUUCACAGUCAUUCUGAAGUUGAUUAGAUCAGAAAGCAGAGGCCUGCCUGCCCAGCAUGACCAAUGAAAAACAUAAAGUUUGUCGGUGUUUCAAGCCUGGAGCAUGUAUUUUGAAGUUGUUUUGGUGUGCAUGGGCCUUCGACGUGGUUCUUUAAAUUUCAGUGCUGCUGCGUUUGUACAUCAUCUGUGUCCCAAACAGUGCAGCAAAAUGUGCAGUGCAUAGACUUGCAUAAAAUCUACCAAUCACAUCUGGAAAUGGCUGUCAGAUUUAUGGAGCAUGGCUGUAAUUACAUUCACAGAAAUGCUCAGUUGAAAGCAGUAACGAAGCCUUAUUACUUUUGUUUUGUUUGUUUUAAUAAAACAAAACACUUGAGUUUAAGGAAAUAAAUUGUUACCUAUGGAGAAAUCUUUUGACUUGCUGUUGGAAUGAUUUAGUGUUUCUAAAACAUGUGCUGUAGGUGAGCCUAAAUGCAGAUUCGUUUUUGUCUGAAGGUCAGAAAGGUUUGUAACAACUGCUAACAGUAAUAUGAGAUAUUAUGCUGACUGCUUUUCAACAAUUAUUUCAUUUAAUCUUCAAAAUUAAAAGGCAAGGAGGGAGUAUGAUUUUCAUUCUCCACUUACAGAAUCACUCCUCCCUACCAGCCUAGUCUGUCCUUCACCCUAUUCUGAUCCCAGGUGCCUCUAAGCACAAAGUCAUAUAGAUAGGGGAGCCUUUUAGUGAAGCCCUAUCCUCCUUCGAAAAGAAUUCUCCUAAGUGAAUACUGGACUCUGGGCCCCUAUGACUAUGGGCACAACCUGGGAUGCUUUGGGGCUUCAUCGAUGGGGAAACUUGAGUGGCACUUUGCCAGCAACAGCAACACUUCCACUUGCCUUUCUCAUUUAGUUGCCAACUUGGCUCCUUGAAAGCCUUAUGAGCUGGGUACGGUGUCUCAUGCCUGUAAUCCCAGCGCUUUGGGAGGCCAAGUCGGGCGGAUCACCUGAGGUCGGGAGUUCGAGACCAGCCUGACCAAUAUGGAGAAACCCCGUCUCUACUAAAAAAUAUACAAAAUUAGCCAGGCAUGGUGGCACACACCUGUAAUCCCAGCUACUCGGGAGGCUGAGGCAGGAGAAUCGCUUGAACCCAGGAGGCGGAGGUUGUGGUGAGCCAAGAUCGCGCCAUUGCACUCCAGCUUGGGCAACAAGAGUGAAACUCUGUCUAUAAAAAGAAAAAAAAAAAAAGCCUGAUGUUGCCAAAGUUACCUAGUCUCUAAAUAUGGGAUCCAGUACCAACAACAUUUUAACUAUGUCAUCAGGAGUGGUCAGCUGAAUUAUUGAGUCAUACAAUUUUAGAGUUGGUAAUGACCUUAAAUUUCAUGUGGUCUGCACCCCUCCAUCUUCAGCUGCGGAGGCUGGCCUUCAAGGAGUUGGGGGGAUUUUACUAAGCCAUAUAAGUGGGGAGGGUAGUGUGGAAUAAGAAACAACAUAUAUUCACUCCCAGUUCUGAACUUUUCCUUAUACUGUAUUGCCAGAACACACCAUGAAAUUUCGCUCUGCAAUAGAUAAGAGUUUCUUCUUGAUACUAUAUUUUACUAUGUUGAUACUAUAUUAUGGAAACAAUAAAUAUAUAUACAUAAUAAGUUUUAACUUAUUAAUCUUUACAGAAAAGAGCUGGCUUUUCAUUUAUCAUUUUAAACUUCAUACUUGAAAAUUCACUUUUUUCUUUUUUUUUGAGGCAGAAUCUCACUCUGUUGCCCAGGCUGGAGUGCAGUGGCGCAAUCUUGGCUCACUGCAACCUCCACCUCCCAGGUUCAAGUGAUUCUUCUGCCUCAGCCUCUCGAAUAGCUGGGAUUACAGGCACCCGCCACCACACCUGGCUAAUUUUUGCACUUUUAGAGUGCAAAAAUUAGUAGAGACAGGGUUUUUCUAUGUUAGCCAGGCUGAUCUCAAACUCCUUACCUCAGGUCAUCUGCCCACCUUGGCCUCCCGAAGUGCUGGGAUUACAGGCGUGAACCCCCAUAACUGGCUGAAAAUUCUUUAUUAUCUCCCUUCAAAGAGACAAACAGAAAAUGAAAUUGUUGUCUUAGAAUAUCUUACAAUAAAGAUUAGCUUACAGAAAACCAAGACUGGUCAUGAGGUUUUCUUUCUCUACUCUUUCACAUGUUAUAUGUUUUGUAGGAAUUUUGGCCAAGAAUCUAGAGGUUAAAUCUGUAUGCAUGGUUUUAAAAAACUGAUAUAACUGCACCAAAAACUGGAGAGAGGGCAGUGGGGACAUCACAUCCUAGAUAUUGACAUUUCAAAUGGAGAUACUUUCUUUACAAGUGUAGAUUCCUAACCUUUAAUGCAUUCUGAGAAUUUGACAUGGAUUUGUUUUAUAGCUCUCAAAGUAUUCAAUUUAGAACAACAACAAAAAUUGCAUUAGAAAACAUACUAUGCUGGGCCCGGCGAAGUGGCUCACACUUGUAAUCCCAGCACUUUGGGAGGCCAGGUGGGCAGAUCACCUGAGGUCAGGAGUUUGACACCAGCUUGACCACCAU